Molecule: ribosomal RNA, 467 nt
Filed under: uncultured bacterium
Lineage: Bacteria
Description: partial 16S ribosomal RNA
Rfam family: Bacterial small subunit ribosomal RNA
Source: RNAcentral
ACGCACGCUGGCGGCGUGCUUAACACAUGCAAGUCGAACGGAAAGGCCCUGCUUUUGUGGGGUGCUCGAGUGGCGAACGGGUGAGUAACACGUGAGUAACCUGCCCUUGACUUUGGGAUAACUUCAGGAAACUGGGGCUAAUACCGGAUAGGAGCUCCUGCUGCAUGGUGGAGGUUGGAAAGUUUCGGCGGUUGGGGAUGGACUCGCGGCUUAUCAGCUUGUUGGUGGGGUAGUGGCUUACCAAGGCUUUGACGGGUAGCCGGCCUGAGAGGGUGACCGGCCACAUUGGGACUGAGAUACGGCCCAGACGCCUACGGGAGGCAGCAGUGGGGAAUAUUGCACAAUGGGCGGAAGCCUGAUGCAGCAACGCCGCGUGCGGGAUGACGGCCUUCGGGUUGUAAACCGCUUUCGCCUGUGACGAAGCGUGAGUGACGGUAAUGGGUAAAGAAGCACCGGCUAACUACGUG